Molecule: ribosomal RNA, 433 nt
Filed under: uncultured bacterium
Lineage: Bacteria
Description: partial 16S ribosomal RNA
Rfam family: Bacterial small subunit ribosomal RNA
Source: RNAcentral
AACGAACGCUGGCGGCAUGCCUAAUACAUGCAAGUCGAACGAGAUCUUCGGAUCUAGUGUCGCACGGGUGCGUAACGCGUGGGAAUCUGCCCUUGGGUGCGGACUAACUUCUGGAAACGGAAGCUAAUACCGGAUGAUGACGUAAGUCCACAGAUUUAUCGCCCUAGGAUGAGCGCGCGUAUCAUUCGCUAGUUGGUGGCGUAAAGGCGCACCAAGGCGACGAUCCUCAGCUGGUAUGAGAGAAUGAUCAGACACACUGGGAGUGAGACACAGCGCAGACUUCUACGGGAGGGAGGAGUAGGGAAUAUUGGAAAAUGGGGUGAGUGAUGAUGCAGCAAGGCCGGGUGAGUGAUUAAGGCCUUAGGGAUGUAAAGCUCGUUUACCCGGGAUGAUAAUGACAGUACCGGGAGAAUAAGCUCCGGCUAACUCCGUG